RNAcentral lists this ribosomal RNA (423 nucleotides) under uncultured bacterium. RNAcentral's name for it is "bacterial SSU rRNA". It matches the Rfam family "Bacterial small subunit ribosomal RNA", at positions 355 to 775 of the family's 1533-position model. The record is from RNAcentral.
UGGGGAAUUUUGGACAAUGGGGGCAACCCUGAUCCAGCGACGCCGCGUGAAGGAUGAAGGUCUUCGGAUUGUAAACUUCUUUUGAAGGGGAUGAAUGCCCUGGUGAAUAGCCAGGGGUGACAGUACUCUUCGAAUAAGCCACGGCUAACUACGUGCCAGCAGCCGCGGUAAUACGUAGGUGGCAAGCGUUACUCGGAAUCACUAGGCGUAAAGCGCAGGUAGGAGGUUUGGUAAGUCUGUUGUGAAAGCUCCCGGCUUAACUGGGAGAGGUCAACGGAAACUACCAGGCUAGAGUGCGGUAGAGGAAGGUGGAAUUCCCGGUGUAGCGGUGAAAUGCGUAGAUAUCGGGAGGAAUACCUAUGGCGAAAGCAGCCUUCUGGACCGUCACUGACUCUGAUCUGCGAAAGCUAGGGGAGCAAACAG